Molecule: ribosomal RNA, 136 nt
Filed under: uncultured eukaryote
Lineage: Eukaryota
Description: partial 18S ribosomal RNA
Rfam family: Eukaryotic small subunit ribosomal RNA
Source: RNAcentral
AACCUCAUCCGAAGGGAUCGGGUAACCUUUGCAACGCACAUCGUGAUGGGGAUAGAUUAUUGCAAUUAUUAGUCUUGAACGAGGAAUUCCUAGUAAGCACAAGUCAUCAGCUUGUGUUGAUUACGUCCCUGCCCUU